Lagopus muta (rock ptarmigan) is the source of this 502-nucleotide long non-coding RNA. RefSeq lists it as uncharacterized. The transcript has 3 exons. The record is from RefSeq and is a predicted model, not a curated record. Lineage: Eukaryota; Metazoa; Chordata; Aves; Galliformes; Phasianidae.
GGGAAAAACAGGGAUUUCUAUGAAAAUAAGCGAUAUUUUAGGGGAAAAACAGGGAUUUCUAUGAAAAUAAGCGAUAUUUUAGGUUAAAAACAGGGAUUUCUAUGAAAAUAAGUGAUAUUUUAGGUUAAAAACCGGGAUUUCUAUGAAAAUAAGCGAUAUUUCAGGGGAAAAACAGGGAUUUCUAUGAAAAUAAGUGAUAUUUUAGGGGAAAAACAGGGAUUUCUAUGAAAAUAAGCGAUAUUUUAGGGGAAAAACAGGGAUUUCUAUGAAAAUAAGCGAUAUUUAAGGUUAAAAACAGGGAUUUCUAUGAAAAUAAGCGAUAUUUCAGGGGAAAAACAGGGAUUUCUAUGAAAAUAAGCGAUAUUUAAGGUUAAAAACAGGGAUUUCUAUGAAAAUAAGCGAUAUUUCAGGGGAAAAACAGGGAUUUCUAUGAAAAUAAGCGAUAUUUAAGGUUAAAAACAGGGAUUUCUAUGAAAAUAAGCGAUAUUUCAGGGGAAAAACA